UUUCCUCAUCACACCUCUCUCUGCCUGGGAGGCCACUGCUGCCACAAAGCAGCCUUUCUCCAUGGUUCCCUGCUGGUUUCUUGUGGCCAUCCUUGUCUCUCUAGGAUGGGCCCUUCAGCAAUCACCAGACACAGUUGUCCGGGAGGGAGACUCACUGAUUCUGAACUGUUC
Molecule: long non-coding RNA, 171 nt
Organism: Cygnus olor (mute swan)
Lineage: Eukaryota; Metazoa; Chordata; Aves; Anseriformes; Anatidae
Exons: 2
Source: RefSeq, a predicted model, not a curated record